This 993-nucleotide long non-coding RNA is filed under the name Malus domestica (apple). Its description in RNAcentral is "long non-coding RNA (MDOM_LNC007772)". Lineage: Eukaryota; Viridiplantae; Streptophyta; Magnoliopsida; Rosales; Rosaceae. The record is from RNAcentral.
GCGUCUUUCCUUGCCCAGCUUCAAAGUAGAAAAUGAGCAUAGCCACCAUAGCAAGCCUUGCAUGCUUAAUCUCAGCCAGUUUCAGUCUCUCCAACUUUUCGCUGUCUGGAACGUAAACCCCGUCCUGGAUGGAGCCGGCGAAGCCCAAGGGGUCGAAGAACUUGCCACCCGGGUAGCCUUGCUCUCCGGUGGAGUUGGCGAAGUUCUCCGAGGUCUUGGACCAAGGUGUGGCCCACUCGACGGACUGGGACUCAGGGUUGUAGAAGUCCACCCAUCUCUUGCUUUCCACCCAUCCCAUGAGCAAGAGCUGAGUGCCGAGCAGUGAGCCGAAGGAGAAGGGUGAGAUAGCACUGGGGUCAGCUCCGGCUUCGAACCAUGGGAUACCACUCCAGGCCUGGCCAACAAAGAUACCAACGACUGCCGCCAUUGCCCACCGGCCGUGGAUGAGCUCCGCCUCUCUGUACCACUUGAGGAACGCCGGGUCCUUGCCUAGUCCUAGUGGAUCAAAACCGUAGUCACCUGGAAGCCUGCACGCGUAUAUCAGAUCAGAUUCAUACAUAUAUCUGUGACAAACUUAGAAUUAUAAUGUGGUUGAUAAUAUAUGAAACUCACGAGCCAUCGAGCCACUCGGGGUCGAUGAAGUUGCCGCCGCCUUUAACCGCCGGGAUCCAAGACUUCUUUGCCGCAGCAGCAACCACAAUGAACCUCUUAGGAGUAGGAGAAGCACCGCCAACCUUGCUUCCAACGGUGGCAGCAGAGAGCAAGGCCUGACUUCUCUUGCCUCCACAUAAGAAGGCCGCCGAGUUCAACCCGUUGAGCACUGCACCGGUGGUUGCCGCCAUCUCUCUCUCUCUCACUAAGCAAAAACAGAGACUCAGAGAGUUUUUCUGGUGGCAAUGAAUGUUUGAGAGUUGCUUGGGAAGUGGUGUUUUAUCACCAUGAGUUUUAGAGAGAGAGAGAGAGAGAGAGAGAGAGAGAGAGAAUGAGAGAGUG